RNAcentral lists this ribosomal RNA (229 nucleotides) under uncultured bacterium. RNAcentral describes it as "partial 16S ribosomal RNA". It matches the Rfam family "Bacterial small subunit ribosomal RNA", at positions 568 to 796 of the family's 1533-position model. The record is from RNAcentral.
UGCGUAGGCGGAACUAUAAGUCAGUGGUGAAAUCCUACAGCUUAACUGUAGAACUGCCAUUGAUACUGUAGAUCUUGAGUACGGUUGAGGUGGGCGGAAUGUGUCAUGUAGCGGUGAAAUGCUUAGAUAUGACACAGAACACCAAUUGCGAAGGCAGCUCGCUAAACCGUAACUGACGCUGAGGCACGAAAGCGUGGGGAGCGAACAGGAUUAGAUACCCUGGUAGUCC